RNAcentral lists this ribosomal RNA (253 nucleotides) under uncultured bacterium. Its description in RNAcentral is "partial 16S ribosomal RNA". It matches the Rfam family "Bacterial small subunit ribosomal RNA", at positions 524 to 776 of the family's 1533-position model. The record is from RNAcentral.
UACGUAGGGGCCGAGCGUUGUCCGGAUUUAUUGGGCGUAAAGCGCGUGUAGGCGGCCAUCUAAGUCGGGCGUGAAAUCCCACGGCUCAACCGUGGAAGUGCACUCGAAACUGGAUGGCUAGAGUCCUGGAGAGGAAGGUGGAAUGCUUGGUGUAGAGGUGAAAUUCGUAGAUAUCAAGCGGAACACCGGUGGCGAAGGCGGCCUUCUGGACAGUGACUGACGCUGAGACGCGAAAGCGUGGGGAGCAAACAGG